AAUAAUUGGACUAACCAUCUAUAAUGACUUCCGCAACAUUGACAUGAUGGUGACACCUUUUACAUAUGGAAUGCACCCUAAGGUGUCAAUCUAAGGUCUCGUGUUAAUCCUUCCAAUAAUUUCGUUAUCAUUUGAAUUUCUCAUACCUAUCUCUUUGAUCAUGGGCUAUCAAGAUACACUCAUACCCACCUAAGAAAGGUGGCAUUCUAUCUCCCACCAGACUGCCUAUCCAGAUUACCAAACUCACUAAGAGACUUGAUUUCUUACUCUCCCUUUCUUGCUUGUUCUUUUUCUACAUUUGCUUCCUCCGCACUCAAUGAACAAUCAGAUGCG
This 333-nucleotide long non-coding RNA is filed under the name Nicotiana benthamiana. RNAcentral's name for it is "long non-coding RNA (NBEN_LNC008708)". Lineage: Eukaryota; Viridiplantae; Streptophyta; Magnoliopsida; Solanales; Solanaceae. The record is from RNAcentral.